RNAcentral lists this ribosomal RNA (727 nucleotides) under Listeria monocytogenes. Its description in RNAcentral is "partial 23S ribosomal RNA". It matches the Rfam family "Bacterial large subunit ribosomal RNA", at positions 904 to 1627 of the family's 2925-position model. The record is from RNAcentral. Lineage: Bacteria; Bacillati; Bacillota; Bacilli; Caryophanales; Listeriaceae.
AGAGCACUGUUUGGACUAGGGGCCCUUCUCGGGUUACCGAAUUCAGAUAAACUCCGAAUGCCAUGUACUUAUACUCGGGAGUCAGACUGCGAGUGAUAAGAUCCGUAGUCGAAAGGGAAACAGCCCAGACCACCAGUUAAGGUCCCCAAAUAUAUGUUAAGUGGAAAAGGAUGUGGGGUUGCUUAGACAACCAGGAUGUUGGCUUAGAAGCAGCCACCAUUGAAAGAGUGCGUAAUAGCUCACUGGUCGAGUGACCCCGCGCCGAAAAUGUACCGGGGCUAAACAUAUUACCGAAACUGUGGAUGAACCUCUUCGGAGGUUCGUGGUAGGAGAGCGUUCUAAGGGCGGUGAAGUCAGACCGGAAGGACUGGUGGAGCGCUUAGAAGUGAGAAUGCCGGUAUGAGUAGCGAAAGAAGGGUGAGAAUCCCUUCCACCGAAUAUCUAAGGUUUCCUGAGGAAGGCUCGUCCGCUCAGGGUUAGUCGGGACCUAAGCCGAGGCCGAUAGGCGUAGGCGAUGGACAACAGGUAGAGAUUCCUGUACCAGUGCUAAUUGUUUAACCGAUGGGGUGACACAGAAGGAUAGGGAAUCGCACGAAUGGAAAUGUGCGUCCAAGCAGUGAGUGUGAGAAGUAGGCAAAUCCGCUUCUCGCGAAGCAUGAGCUGUGAUGGGGAAGGAAAUUAAGUACGGAAGUUCCUGAUUUCACGCUGUCAAGAAAAGCCUCUAGGA